GUGUGAGGCGGUGGUUUGAGUGUUGGCCUAUGACUCUAGAGGCCAGGGUUCGAAUCCCAGCUCACCCA
Non-coding RNA from Phrynosoma platyrhinos (Desert horned lizard), 68 nucleotides. The record is from the annotation of a GenBank genome assembly. NCBI's taxonomy places the organism in Eukaryota, Metazoa, Chordata, Lepidosauria, Squamata, Phrynosomatidae.